CAUGCUUGCUAGACUUUGAGCCACACAUUUACUUUUACUUUUUACUGCUUAUGAGCAUUGAGUGUGGUCAAGCUGUGUAGACCCUUAGGAGCUUGUCAUGUGGUUAAAUCAAGAUUCACUUGCACGUUCACUCACACAUACUGCUUCUACUCCAGAAGUACGCAUCCACAUAUAUCCACCCAUUUCCAUCUCCAAAACCACCCAAAAAUAUUCUACUCCUAAUCCGGGAGAGAAUAGCCAAAAAUAUUUCUAUUUUUCCCCUAUGAAAUAAAUGCUCAAGAUAUCUUGGUUACUACCACUUGCUAUAUGAUCUCAUGAGAUGAGUGCUCUAAAAAAAGAGUUAUGAGGAAAUAAAAAGGGGCAAGUGCCCGGAAACUCGAAAGAAAAGAAAUAGUGAGACGAGAGGUAAAAAUGGACAAGUGUCCGACAGUAGAAUUAGGGGUACAAGAUACCCACUGAUAGGAAAGAAAAAGAAAAUGUAGAGCAUCUCAUUCUCCUCAAAAAAGUUUUAAAAGAGCAAGGAAGGUAUAUAUCCCCUCAAAAGAGCACAAGUAGAAUUAGACUUUCACCAUUGUUAUCACCAUCAUCACCAUACACCAUUCAUUCGCCACACAUGCACAUCUUGAUUUGAUUUAUUGACUUGUUUCUUUGGAUCCAUGGUUUGACUAUGCAAUAAAUGUCUUGUAAGUAUGUAUCCUUUAUCUUCCACCUAUGAGCUCCAGAUAUCAAAAGCCUUAUUAGAGUAGGGUGAGAGAGAAGGCAAUAUCACUAUGCCUUAUACCACAAAUACUACAUAUUUUGAGAGAAGGCAUAUACCAUCACUGCCUUGGUAAGGAUCCAGAAAUACCACAAAAGAGAGAUCUGAGAGAGUCAUACAAGGAAUCUCUGAGUUUUAUUUGAAAAUCUGCAAAAAACUCCAAAGUUAUAGCUGAUCAAGAAUAAGAGACAUGACACUUGACUAGACCGUUCUAUCUUUUAACUACUCAAGACAGAAGUGACGGUUACAAGUCCCAUGGUGAAAGGUAAAAUAAGUAAGUUUUAAGUCUUGACAGUUUACUCUAACUCAGAGAUGAGAUCUUAUUUAGAAGCAUGUGUACCGUCAAUUUUUAAAGGUAUUUCAGCAACUUCUGAUCCAUCGCUGAGAUUAUCCUUGCUUAGGGACGAGCAAGAGGUAAGCUUGGGGGAGUUUGUGGACGGUCCAUAAGUAUCAAAUUUAAUUAUCAAAUAAACAAAGAAAAGGAUCCAAAUGCAACCGACACCCAGACUUACGGUUUUAUGUGACAGAAUUCCACGAGUUUUGGUGUUUGUCUAUUUCUGCAGGGGGUUAUCGAGAAAUACGGAAGAAAGGCCCACACGUCGGGAUUACAUAGAGAUAUUAACGUGCCUCACAAUUUUCUAUCAUCUAGAAGACUCCAGAAGCCACGGGAAUGAAGCGGAGGCAGAACGGGGCCUGGCCCAGGGCGCCCGCCCUAGAGACCAGGGCGUCCGCCCCCCUCUUGUGUCCAAUCAGGACCCGUCUCGCGGAUUACGCUCCACCGACCUAAAGGAUCAAGGAUAACCGUUCAAUCAAUGUCGGUUUGAUCCGACGGCCCAUAUUCACUUGGAAGGACUAUAUAACCAGACCCCCUGGCCCCUGGAGGAGAGAACCUCUCAACCCUAAUUCAUUAUUCAUCAGGGAGAAGAAGCCUCUGAUCAAGCCUAGAGCCACCACAUCAAUUAGACAUCUAGAUUAGCAUAGCUACAUAGGAUUAGAACUAGAUGGAGUCAAUCUUCGAUUGGUUUCCGAAUCUGUCAAGAGGAUUCUUGGUAAUUCUCUAAUUGUUCUUCUAAUUGUUCAUCUUUGUUCUUCAAUAUUAUGAAUAUGACUUUGAUCUAGUUCAAUAUAUUGCUUAUGACUUUGCUCUACUUGUUUAUAUUUAAGAUUAUAUUGUUCUUAGUUUAUCAUAGUUAUAUACUUGGCUUAGUUAGAUUGGAUCUAUAUACAUGUUUAGGAUCGUAUAGCGUUUAUCCAUCGGAUCCAUGGGUAAAUGAUAGAUAUUGUGUAGGCGUGGUGCUUAUACCGUAUUUAUCUGCGAUUGUACCCAAUAUGCCAGAUCGUGGGGUAGUUCGUGAUAGUGACAGCUUCAUUGAUUCUUAUAUAGUCCCCCUCUCAUGUAUUGGGCUGGCAGAGCAACAUUAUUACAGGGGAGUGAUUACGAUGUUUCUCAUAUUCCUUGCUAAUAUCACUAUGCAUGGGCGUAGUCUUGUCUCACAAUGAUUGCUAAGUAUACUUGCACUAACUAUGAUAAUGCUAGACUGUACAGUUAAGAAUAACUUAGGAAAUAUUCUUGUAGUUCGUCCUAAUUCCAUACUAAUGACUUGCUAGAAUAUCUAAUUGAGGUGCUUAUCAUAUUUAUAUGUGGCUAAGUUAUGCUGAUCAGAUUAAUUUUCUUUGUCACCAUUUAUUACUUUAUAUAUAUCCUUUGUGUGACACUUAUUCCUAUAUGAAAGAGAUAGAUAGAUGCUCUCAAUUAUACAUGCAAUGAUAGAUACUCAAUUCUAUAUUCCAUUCUAUAAUCAACAUUGAUGGUUACUAAUCCCUUCCCAGUGGUAAAAAUAUAAAUAACGAUACCUGGAAUACUUCCCGGUUAAAAUGCUACAUCGGUAUUAAUCUGUGCGCUUGCAGAUCCCAUUUGUUAUUUAUUUAGAUGAGCAAUUGCAUAUUUCAAUACCGCGUCUCUUAUGUCAUGCUGGGGAUGACAACUUGGCUUAAGUGGCAUGAGGGAUAGGUUUGGCAUUUUUUGGCGUCGUUAUCAGAAUUAGAAAACUAAGUCUACUUUUGAUAGUGACGUUAAGAAUGCCCAACAAGCAUUUUUUGCGCCGUUGCGGGGAAAGGUUGAUUACUAAUCAGGAAUGGAUAUAGAAUUUUGAGUCAUCAUUCGCAUCACUAAUAUGAUUGAGCUUAUCAAUUCUCUCAUACAGUUUUACCCUAAUAUUUUUCUAUUUUAUCUUAUGCAGGGGAAUGUAUGAAUAGAAGACAUCUUCCAGGAAAUUUUGUUGACAAUCCCGAAGCGUUAUUCAGAAAAACUAGAGCCAAGCUCAAGAAGAGAUCAUCAACACUUCAGAAUGCCCAACAACGGGAAGCCGAGCGGGCCCGGGGGCAGGGCGCCCGCCCUCCCCCCUUGGGCGCCCGCCCUGUCAUCUGGACCAAUCAGGCUCUGCCUCACGGAUUAUGCUCCACCGACCUAAAUGAUCAAGGAAAACCGUGCGAUUAAGGUCGGUUUGAUCCGACGGCCCACGUUCAUUUGAGGGGGCUAUAUAAGCAGGGCCCCUGGUCCCUGGAGAAGAAACCUCUGAAUCCUUAUUCAUUAUUCAUAGACAGAGCAAAAGCUAGGGUUUGGAGAUGAGAGCUCUCCUCUCAUCUCUAAACUAGAGUAGAUCUAGAUAGUAGCGAGAUGGAGAGCGAGACACAUGAAGUUUAACAAUUUGCACAAAAAGGACAUGGCUCAUUCAUCAUAGAGAGAUGAUCCAUGGAAGGAGACAAAGUACAUAAACAAGAUACACAGCCAGUACGAAUGGGAAGCUUCCACAAGGUGAGAUGGUACCAUCACUCUUCAAUUAAGGUAACAUCUUAAGAUAUGUGACUAUCACUUUUAUAAGCUUCUCUUUGGUUCUGGCAUUCACAUAAAUAAAGAGACAAACAUGUAUGAUUUAUAACUCUAAAUUAACCAACCCAACUAAUUCAGCAUGUUUAGUCCUUUAAUUUUUGUUCCUAGUACUACCUCCAUGAUCCCACACUCCUAAUCAUAUGAGCUAAAAUGUUGCACAUUCAAUCUUUGGGAAGAUAUAAAGAAAAAGACAUAGAUAGAUUAUCUUUCCAUAAGGUUAAGCGAUCUGAUCUGAUAAAUGUUUUAAAUGCUACACUCAUGAACUUAUCACCCAUCAACUUUGUCUUGCUCCCUAUGCUUAAGGAUAGAGAAGAAUAAAUAUACUUUUGGUUUUGUUGGUGUUUUCCACCAACAGGACCCAUGCACUUGAUCUCUGCCUUGUCUCUAUGGGCAGGACACAUUUUGAGAAACAUGGAGGAUUUUUCAACUCUCAGACUCUACCAAGUGAAGGACUAGGAUCUACGAGCACAAACACACUGAACAAGAUACUGCCAACGCCGCACUUCGAACUGCUGGGCAAACGAAGAACAUGGGUGACACUGUAUCAAGAGGUACAGACGUCAAGGUCCACACCUGAUUCAAAUGAUGCACCUGAAGAAUGAACACGGUGAGAAGUCUUGUUCAGAAGACUUAAAACAUUGAACCCUUGCCGAAAGGUAAAAUCGGUAGUUAUCCAUAUUUAUCCUUUGUGCAUUCCCUUUUCCCUUUAAUUAUUUACUUUUCUUAAAUAGCUUGUUAGUUAAUCAUGCUAUCUCGAAAAGAAAUUAAAAAUGUUAAAAACAGUAAGCCCCAUGUGAGUAUGCUCGUGGCAUAAAACCCAUAAGUACAUUCACUGUGGUGGCAUAAAAAUAAAAAUAUUCCUGUCCUAUAAAAAUGAAAAUAUAAAAAUAAGAUUGUGAUCCUACUAAAGAGAGUAAUAUAAAACCCAUAAGUACAUUCACUGUGGUGGCGUAAAAAUAAAAAUAUUCCUGUCCUAUAAAAAUGAAAAUAUAAAAAUAAGAUUGUGAUCCUACUAAAGAGAGUAAUAUUUAUUGAGGAGGCUCAACAUGAUAAAGGCAAAGAGAUUUUUAUGCUAACACUUAACUAGUUCCACAAAGCUUUGUUGUCUAUUUGAGCUCCACAGAAUUCAAGGAUCAAAGAAGACUAGCAGACGGAGGACAUCCUAAUCACUGUCAGGGUGCUGCCGACAUUCAAAUACACCUCCGCCACUUGCUAGCUACAUCAGAAGAAAUUACAUCAAAAUCCAGCUUGGGGGAGAGCACCCCCAUUUAUCCAACUAAGUGUUUAUAUUCGCGUUUAUCCUUUACUCAAAUAAUAAAAAGAUGCAUAAUCAUAAAAACCCAAAUAAAGAUUUUGUGCUUAUAUAUAUAUAUAUAUCUUUGCUUAGUUUGCUAAAUAAAUAAAGUUUGCUAUGAACCCUCAUGAUAAGCUCUCACAUGGAAAUGAUGAAUAGUUGCUCUGCCAUGACAAGUUCUCAAAAUUGAAAUCUCUCUCAAGUUUAGGCAUGACUGUUAUGAAUUAAGAUUUGCUCUAAACCUGAACUUGUGGGAAGAGUACUUGAUCUAAAGUCUAAGUCGUUAACGGAUACGAUAUGGGAAGGUUGAGCUGAUGUUUAUCUAUUCCUAGAGAUGCUAGAAUUCUAGAGAAUUUUAUCUUUGAACAUCUUUAAAAUGUUGCAUGAUGAGUUCUUGUAUGAUGAGAGUUUUAAAUCCUACCACAGCCAUAUAUACAUGCUUAUUAGACUAUGAACCAUACAUUUACUUUUUACUGCUUAUGAGGAUUGAGUGUGGUCAAGCUGUGUAGACCCUUAGGAGCUUGUCAUGCGGUUAAAAUCAAGAUUCACUUGCACGUUCACUCAUACAUCCUGCUUCUACUCCGGAAGUACGCAUCCACAUACAUCCACUCAUUUCCAUCUCUAGAUUCACCCAAAAUUAUUCUACUCCUGUCCAGGAGAGAAUAGCCAAAAACAUUCUCCUAUUUCUGUUUUCCCUGUGAAAUAAAUGCUCCAGUUAUCUUGGUUACUACCACUUGCUAUAUUAUUUCAGGAGAUGAGUGCUCUAAAAAAAAGAGAAAGGAUACGAGGAAAUAAAAAAUGGGCAAGUGCCCGGAACCACGAAGAAAAGAAAAAGUGAGACGAGAGGUAAAAAUGGACAAGUGUCCGACAGUAGAAUUAGGGGUACAAGAUACCCACCUGAGAGAAAAGAAAAAGAAAAUAUAGAGCAUCUCAUUCUCCUCAAAAGUUUCAAAAGUGUAAAAAAGGUAUGUAUCCCCUCAAAAGAGCAAAAGUAGAAUUAGACUUUCACCAUUGUUUUCACCAUUAUCACCAUCAUCACCAUACACCAUUCAUUCGCCACACAUGCACAUCUUGAUUUAACUUAUUGACUUGUUUCUCUGGAUCCAUGGUUUGACUAUGCAAUAAAUGUCUUGUAAGUAUGUAUUAGCUGUCUCCCACCUAUGAGCUCCAGAUAUCAAAGCCUCAUUAGAGUAGGAUGAGAGAGAAGGCA
Molecule: long non-coding RNA, 6151 nt
Filed under: Sorghum bicolor (sorghum)
Lineage: Eukaryota; Viridiplantae; Streptophyta; Magnoliopsida; Poales; Poaceae
Description: long non-coding RNA (SBIC_LNC002489)
Source: RNAcentral